CACUGACAAGUAGCAGAUUGUACAGAGGAAGCCGCUUUGGUCACUCCUGGGACACGGGAGAGCUCAUGCCCAGACGUUGCUGAAAGAUGCCCAGAGCGAUGAGGUCAGCCAGAAGACAUUCCAUCAAGGCUCACCUCUUCCCUCUGAGAACACUGCCCGCACUCCCGGGAUAGACACGGAGCCUGUACAUUCCCUGAAACAGCAUCAGAAGAUUUCCUGGUGGGAAAGCAGUUCUAAAUUUUAAAUAAAAAGGAUCCUAAGAGACUACUAUGAACAAUUAUGCACCAAGUUGGACAAUCUGAAGAAAUAGGUAAAUUCCUAGAAACACACAACCUACCAAGACUGAAUCAUCUGAACAGACCAAUCACUAGUGAUGAGAUUGAAUCAGUAAUUAAAAACCUCCCAACAAAGAAAAGCCCAGGACCGACAUUUGAAGAAGAACUAACACCAAUCCUUCUCAAAAUUUCCCAAAAAAUUGAAGAGGAGGGGAACACUUCCAAACUCAUUUUAUGAAGCCAGCAUCACCCUGAUACCAAAGCCAGACGAGGACACCACAACAAAGAAAACUACAGGCCAGUAUUCCUGAGGAAGAAGAAGUGACAGAGAUCCUAAUUGGAAAGGAAGAUGUAAAAUUGUCGCUAAUUGCAGAUGGCAGGAUAUUAUAUAUGGAAAACCCUAAGACUCCACCAAAAACUAUUAGAACUAGUAAAAGAAUUUAGUAAAGUCGCAGGCCUUUACUAAAAUGAAAUAUAAAAAAUGAAUAUACAAAAAUCAGUUGUUUCUAUACACUAGUAACGAAACAGAAAGAGAAAUUAAGAAAACAAUCCCAUGUAUAAUAGCAUCAAAAAUAAUACACUAUCUAGGAAUAAAUUUAGCCAAGGAGGUGAAAGACCUGUACACUGAGAACUAUAAGACGCUGAUGAAAGAAACUGAAGAAGAUAUAAAUAAAUGAAAGGAUACUCUGUGUUCAUGGAUUGGAAGAAAUAAUAUUGUUAAGGUAUUAUUGUUAAAAUACCCAAAGCCAUCUAUAAAUUCAAUGCAAUCCCUAUCAAGAUUCCAACAGCAUUUUUCACAGAAAUACAACAAACAAUCCUAAAAUUUGUGUGGAACCACAAAAGACCCUGAAUAGCCAAAGCAAUCUUGAGAAAGAAGAACGAAGCUGGAGGCAUCACACUCCCUGACUUCAAGCUAUAUUACAAAGCUAUAGUUAUCAAAACAGUGUGGUAUUGUCAUAAAAACAGACACCUAGACCAAUGGAACAAAAUAGAGAGCUGAGAAAUAAAUCCAUGUAUGUAUGAUCAAUUAAUUUACAACAAAGGAGACAAGAAGGUGUCGCGAAAACAGGACAGCCACAUGCAAGAGAGUGAAACUGGACACUAUUUUACACCACACACAAAAAUCAAAUCAAAAUGGAUUAAAGACUCGAAUGAAAGACCUGAAACCAUAAAACUCCUAGAAGAAAACAGGUAAUAAGCGCCUUGACAUCAGU
Diceros bicornis minor is the source of this 1489-nucleotide long non-coding RNA. RefSeq lists it as uncharacterized. Lineage: Eukaryota; Metazoa; Chordata; Mammalia; Perissodactyla; Rhinocerotidae. The transcript is spliced from 3 exons. The record is from RefSeq and is a predicted model, not a curated record.